CAGGGUGGGGAUAGGAAUCCAUCCAGGGCUUUCAUCAUAGAAGGUGGGUGGGGUCUGCCCAGGUGCUGACCACACUGCGGGGGGCCCACCCUUUCUUUCCCAGCAGCUCUCUGGGUCCCGGCAAGGAAAGGAGGGCUUGCUUCAGUGGGUGGUUGAGGAGGAUUGAACAAAGCAGGUUUAUUAUAUUAAAAAAAAAAAGGUGGGAGGGACUAAGGGAUGCCAGCACAGGAAGAAGAAGCAUCCAGGAGCUGUUCCCACCCCAGGCCAGAUGUGGAGGGAGCUGUAGCCGUCACUCUGUGCUCAGCUCGAGCUGCCGUGGUCAGAGCAGGACCACCGGAAAGGAGUGCUGGCUUCCUGGAAAGGAGCACCUCCACGGCUGCCUCGGCCAGGGAGGGAACUGGACACUAGCCUCAUGUUUCUCCAACCUCCAGCUGCCCCUCCCAGCUUCUGCUGUGACUGAAUCCACCUGGAGGCCAGAGGAUAGGGAAGCCCAUGGAUGCCGGCCAUAGAGGCCAGGGCCUUGGGGCACAGAGCCAGCGGAGGUGAGUGGACAGUGGAGCAGAGGGCAGUGGAGUGCAUGCAGCCUCUGCCGUCACUAGGCAGUUUGCUUUCCUUCUGACACCUGCCAGUCACCUCACAGUUUCAACAGGGCUGCUGAACGCCAGGCAUCAAGCACAUGUUCCAGCCAGUGACAGGAGGGGAAGGCAGGGAGACAAAGGCCGCCAGCAGACCUCCACUUCCAACUCACGAGCCGGAAAUGGGUCCAUAGUUUUUCCUCUUAGGGCAAUAGCAUGGGAGGCCAUUGAUUCCCAGAGACGUUCCCAAUGUUAGGCCACCCACCAGGGGCCUAAGAAGUGAAAAGUCGAUCAGUCCUGCUCAGAGGAAGUGGAUAGUAAAUAAACAAUAAGGAAGUCUUUGCACAGAAACCUAGGCUUGUGUUGCUGUAUUAGACACCACAAACAUCGCAAAGUGAAACAGAGAGCAUUUGUGAUCUUCAACUGCAAUCUGAGCUGGAUUUUACAAUGAGGAAGUUGUGAUAAGUUGUCCUUGUUAUUCUGCAGGAUCUCGUAAGGAGGCCACUUGCAUUCAGAAUCUGUCAAAGGACCAUUUUCAAAGCAGAGCUUAAAGCGGCAUCACUAGCACGUCUCACACAACACAGAAGUCCUGGGGUCGAGGCCUGGGCGCAGUCUCUGCUCUCCGUGAAUUCAGUCAACGAGGCUUUGCCUGUCCUUGCCGGUGCCCUGGGGAGAUGCAGCGGAACGGGCUGCCUCUCCUCGUUCUGUGGGAGCUCACAACCGUGUUUGGCACACGCAGGUCAGCCAGGGUGAAGGGUGAAGUGUGAGCAGGAGGAGGAACAAGCCGAGGGCUGCAAGAGGAAGAAGAGGGCGGUCACUGAAAGGGCCACGGAGCUGUGCCCCAAGGUCCUGUUGGUUCUGAGUUCAGGCACUGCUGGCAGCCAGGAGGGCUCACAGCCCUGGGGCACAGGGGCGAGGUAGUGAUGCAACUGCCUGGCAGGUGCCUUGGGUGGAGACGAGUGCCCCCAUCUCAGUCAUCAUGACUUCUUUAUUCAUGAGCUCCAAAUAUUAUUUUCCUGGCCAACCACAACUCCUGGUCAGGCUGGGGGUGGUCAACUUUCUUUUGCCUCAUUUAAACGCACAGUGCUGCUCCUCAAGUCAACAACCUCUCUUCAGACUCUGCAUUUUAUUGAUCAUGGUACUGCGCAAGACUUUUCAGGAGAGUUUGGUCAUCUCCCAUGAUGCCAACUCCAGAAGAUUAGGAGUGGGCCCCUGUGCGAACAGGAGGUUGUUCUGGGGUCCAUGAGAGGCGGCGGUCACACUUCCUAACACGUUCAGCUGACGCUGGUGCAAAUAGGACAAAGGAGGGGCUCUCACCCCAAACAUUCCAGUCAGGGGGACGGAACUUGGUAAAUGUUCGGGGAGCCAUGGGGGUCAUCCUGUGCCCUCCUCCUGGUCUGUUCACCAAGCUCAAGAGGGAAGACAAGUGAUCAGAAAUCCGCAGAUAGUGAGCAACAGCGGGAAAGGACUCACCAGGAAGGAGGCAGCCAAGAAAGAGCAGGUCCUUCUCUGCUGCCCAGGCUGGAGUGCAGUGGUGCAA
RNAcentral lists this long non-coding RNA (2115 nucleotides) under Homo sapiens (human). RNAcentral describes it as "HSALNT0344333". Lineage: Eukaryota; Metazoa; Chordata; Mammalia; Primates; Hominidae. The record is from RNAcentral.